This 269-nucleotide ribosomal RNA is filed under the name uncultured prokaryote. RNAcentral describes it as "partial 16S ribosomal RNA". It matches the Rfam family "Bacterial small subunit ribosomal RNA", at positions 524 to 792 of the family's 1533-position model. The record is from RNAcentral.
UACGUAGGGGGCAAGCGUUAUCCGGAUUUACUGGGUGUAAAGGGAGCGCAGACGGAACUGCAAGUCUGAUGUGAAAGCCCGGGGCUCAACCGCGGGACUGCAUUGGAAACUGUAGAUCUGGAGUGCCGGAGGGGCAAGCGGAAUUCCUGGUGUAGCGGUGAAAUGCGUAGAUAUCAGGAGGAACACCGGCGGCGAAGGCGGCUUGCUGGACGGCAACUGACGUUGAGGCUCGAAAGCGUGGGGAGCAAACAGGAUUAGAUACCCUGGUA